Molecule: ribosomal RNA, 253 nt
Filed under: uncultured bacterium
Lineage: Bacteria
Description: partial 16S ribosomal RNA
Rfam family: Bacterial small subunit ribosomal RNA
Source: RNAcentral
GACGAACCGUGCGAACGUUGUUCGGAUUCACUGGGCUUAAAGGGCGCGUAGGCGGGCGGUCAAGUCGGGGGUGAAAUCUUUCCGCUUAACGGGAAGCGUGCCUCCGAUACUGAUCGCCUCGAGGGAGGUAGGGGCAUGUGGAACUUCCGGUGGAGCGGUGAAAUGCGUAGAUAUCGGAAGGAACGCCGGUGGCGAAAGCGACGUGCUGGACCUCUUCUGACGCUGAGGCGCGAAAGCCAGGGGAGCAAACGGG